RNAcentral lists this ribosomal RNA (853 nucleotides) under uncultured bacterium. Its description in RNAcentral is "bacterial SSU rRNA". It matches the Rfam family "Bacterial small subunit ribosomal RNA", at positions 39 to 896 of the family's 1533-position model. The record is from RNAcentral.
GCCCAGAUGGCUUAAUACAUGCAGUCGAAGGGUAAGGUUUCUUCGGAGAACACGAGUGGCGCACGGGUGCGUAACGCGUAUGCAACCUACCUUUAACUGGGAGAUAGCCCCGAGAAAUCGGGAAUAAUACCCCAUAAUAUUCAAAACACACCUGUUUUUUGAAUCAAAGUUCCGGCGGUUAAAGAUGGGCAUGCGUGGCAUUAGCUAGUUGGUAAGGUAACGGCUUACCAAGGCGAUGAUGCCUAGGGGUUCUGAGAGGAUAUACCCCCACACUGGUACUGAGACACGGACCAGACUCCUACGGGAGGCAGCAGUAAGGAAUAUUGGGCAAUGGACGCAAGUCUGACCCAGCCAUGCCGCGUGCAGGAUGACUGCCCUAUGGGUUGUAAACUGCUUUUAUACGGGAAAAAAAUAUCCGACGUGUCGGAAGCUGAUGGUACCGUAUGAAUAAGCAUCGGCUAACUCCGUGCCAGCAGCCGCGGUAAUACGGAGGAUGCAAGCGUUAUCCGGAUUUAUUGGGUUUAAAGGGUGCGCAGGCGGAAUGAUAAGUCAGUGGUGAAAGCUUCCGGCUCAACCGGAAAAUUGCCAUUGAUACUAUCGUUCUUGAGUACAGUUGAGGUAGGCGGAAUGUGUCAUGUAGCGGUGAAAUGCUUAGAUAUGACACAGAACACCGAUAGCGAAGGCAGCUUACCAAAUUGAAACUGACGCUCAUGCACGAAAGCGUGGGGAUCAAACAGGAUUAGAUACCCUGGUAGUCCACGCUGUAAACGAUGAUCACUCGCUGUUGGCAAUACACAGUCAGCGGCUAAGCGAAAGCAUUAAGUGAUCCACCUGGGGAUACGGCGGCACGUUG